Molecule: ribosomal RNA, 503 nt
Filed under: uncultured bacterium
Lineage: Bacteria
Description: partial 16S ribosomal RNA
Rfam family: Bacterial small subunit ribosomal RNA
Source: RNAcentral
GACGAACGCUGGCGGCGUGCUUAACACAUGCAAGUCGAACGGGGAAGCGCUUUCCUUUGUGGUUGGUGUGGAUGAGUGGCGAACGGGUGAGUAACACGUGAGUAACCUUCCCCCUACUUCUGGAUAACCGCAUGAAAUUGUUGCGAAUACGGGAUAUUCUGCGCCUGCUUCAUGGUGGGUGUGGUAAGGUUUGUGCCUUUGGAUGGUUUCGGUGGGGGGUGGGCUCGCGGCCUAUCAGCUUGUUGGUUGGGUGAUGGCGUACCAGGGCGGUGACGGGUACACCGAGUGAGGGGGUGGACGGUCACACUGGAGCUGGGACACGGACCAGAGUCCUAAGGCAGGCAGCAGUGGCGAAUAUUGCGCAAUGGGCGCGAGCAUGAUGCAGCGAGGCCGCGUGAGGGAUGGAGGCGUUCGGGUUGUGAACCUCUUUUGAGAGUGAAGCAGGCCUGUUACUUGUGGGUGGGUUGACGGUAGAUGGAUAAGAAGCGCCGGCUAACUACGUG